Molecule: unclassified non-coding RNA, 201 nt
Filed under: soil metagenome
Description: partial internal transcribed spacer 1
Source: RNAcentral
CCGAGCUUACAACUCCCAAACCCAAUGUGAACGUUACCAAACUGUUGCCUCGGCGGGAUCUCUGCCCCGGGUGCGUCGCAGCCCCGGACCAAGGCGCCCGCCGGAGGACCAACCAAAACUCUUAUUGUAUACCCCCUCGCGGGUUUUUUUUAUAAUCUGAGCCUUCUCGGCGCCUCUCGUAGGCGUUUCGAAAAUGAAUCA